Molecule: long non-coding RNA, 334 nt
Filed under: Musa acuminata (dwarf banana)
Lineage: Eukaryota; Viridiplantae; Streptophyta; Magnoliopsida; Zingiberales; Musaceae
Description: long non-coding RNA (MACU_LNC000969)
Source: RNAcentral
UCCUUCCUAACCUUGCAUAUCUUCUGUAAUGAAUGAUUGACCUUAAAUAUCUUGCGAGAAAGCCAUCUUGAAAUCCCAUGCUGUCUGGAUCUCCUUUUCAGUGUUGUGGGACAAACUGGCGCAAUUAUAAUAAGAGAAGAAAACAAUCUUUUACUUGAGCAUCAAAACUAAAAUUUUCUAGUUGUGCCAGGAAGAAAACCAACUCUGCAUAUAGACCCUCUUAAUAUGAGAUUAGCAUAUAUAACCAACCAAAACUUGAAACCUGGCAUACAAGUCAUUGUAGUUAGUCUCUAUUGGUUAUUGUAAUUUAUAUAAACACCUUUUAAAAACUUUC